This 468-nucleotide ribosomal RNA is filed under the name uncultured bacterium. Its description in RNAcentral is "partial 16S ribosomal RNA". It matches the Rfam family "Bacterial small subunit ribosomal RNA", at positions 28 to 507 of the family's 1533-position model. The record is from RNAcentral.
GACGAACGCUGGCGGCGUGCUUAACACAUGCAAGUCGAACGGAAAGGCCCUGCUUUUGUGGGGUGCUCGAGUGGCGAACGGGUGAGUAACACGUGAGUAACCUGCCCUUGACUUUGGGAUAACUUCAGGAAACUGGGGCUAAUACCGGAUAGGAGCUCCUGCUGCAUGGUGGGGGUUGGAAAGUUUCGGCGGUUGGGGAUGGACUCGCGGCUUAUCAGCUUGUUGGUGGGGUAGUGGCUUACCAAGGCUUUGACGGGUAGCCGGCCUGAGAGGGUGACCGGCGACAUUGGGACUGAGAUACGGCCCAGACUCCUACGGGAGGCAGCAGUGGGGAAUAUUGCACAAUGGGCGGAAGCCUGAUGCAGAAACGCCGCGUGCGGGAUGACGGCCUUCGGGUUGUAAACCGCUUUCGCCUGUGACGAAGCGUGAGUGACGGUAAUGGGUAAAGAAGCACCGGCUAACUACGUG